CCACCUCACUACGGUGGCGCCACCUAGAAUCUUGAAUUCGUAAAAACUAGCCAUGUGAUGUAAAAGAGCUUAUAUGAUUACUGUAUUGUACCAUGCCUGAAGAAGCAAACUUAGUCAUCCUUGAGAAACAGAAAGCUUUAGGCAAUGUCCAAGUUUGAUCCACUACGAUUUACUAAUACCAAGUUAAUUUCAGUUAGCUGUAAAGUAAUUUUAAUCAGUAGUACAGCUCUUGCUAAUUUAUAAUAAACACGUUUUUGUAUGUAAAAAAUUUAGAGCUUAUAACAAUUAAAAAUGUUUUUGGGCACGAAGAAACGUGUUUAUACAUGAGAAAUCAUGGUUGACACUUGCAACUUGAAAAGGUACAGAUUUAACGAUUAAAACUUUCGACGGCUGACUUGGCAAGAAAAAUUUUGUCACGUCAGUAGUGAAAAGUUUUUAUCUUGUCCAUUGAGGAAGGGAGAUUAAGCCUGUUGACAAGAUUUAUUAUUAACUCUUUGAUUAGUUGCUCAAAAUUUUCUAGCGUUGGCAAUGAAAAGUUGUCAAAUAAAAUUAUUUUCUUUCUCAUGGUUACCAGUACCACUUGAAAAAAUAAGGCUAACUUGAAUAAAAUAUUCAAUAGUUAAACAUAUCUAAAUAUGAAUCUUUAUUAUGUUAUAAAUAUGUCCUAUGUAGCAGAAUGUGGGACGACAAGGAAUCACUCAAGUUUUCUAAGUAGCAAGUGUACACAUCUACGCCAUGAAGCCGAGGAGUUUGUCAUAUAGGAAACCAAUUGACCGAAUGUUAACCAAGAUUUGCGUUAAGGACGAGCCACGCACCAGCCGAGGGACGAUUAUCCACACCUGUCCAGCUGGCUCAUGUCUCAUGGAUGAGGCUAAUCGAGAUAGAGUCUUAACUUGUUGUAAUUUAGUUUUAGUUUAUUGUAAUUCCAAAUUUGUAUUUCGCGCCUCCAUUGAAC
This 955-nucleotide long non-coding RNA is filed under the name Olea europaea (common olive). RNAcentral describes it as "long non-coding RNA (OEUR_LNC002627)". The record is from RNAcentral. Lineage: Eukaryota; Viridiplantae; Streptophyta; Magnoliopsida; Lamiales; Oleaceae.